This 253-nucleotide ribosomal RNA is filed under the name uncultured bacterium. RNAcentral describes it as "partial 16S ribosomal RNA". It matches the Rfam family "Bacterial small subunit ribosomal RNA", at positions 524 to 776 of the family's 1533-position model. The record is from RNAcentral.
UACAGAGGUCCCGAGCGUUGUUCGGAUUUAUUGGGCGUAAAGGGUGCGUAGGCGGCGGAGUAAGUUGGGUGUGAAAUCCCGAGGCUCAACCUCGGAAUUGCAUUCAAUACUGCUUCGCUCGAGUACUGGAGAGGAGGCUGGAAUUUACGGUGUAGCAGUGAAAUGCGCAGAUAUCGGGAGGAACACCCGUAGCGAAGGCGGCACUCUGGGCCGGUACUGACGCUGAGGAGCGAAAGCGUGGGGAGCAAACAGG